Neopelma chrysocephalum (saffron-crested tyrant-manakin) is the source of this 366-nucleotide long non-coding RNA. RefSeq lists it as uncharacterized. The transcript is spliced from 3 exons. NCBI's taxonomy places the organism in Eukaryota, Metazoa, Chordata, Aves, Passeriformes, Pipridae. The record is from RefSeq and is a predicted model, not a curated record.
UUCUUCACCCCUAGGCUGGUCCCCUCCGUGUGUCUCACACAUGAGGAACUCUGGUUGAUCACUAUCCAUCUUUUCUGUUGAGGACAUCUAAGGUUUAACAAAGGAUGUAUUUUCUUUACUCUUCAGUCUGGAUUUCUCUCUUUCAGUGUGAGAAGAUUAAAUCUGAAAGACUGUAUUGUUGAAGUCCAUGCUUAUAUCACUGUUAAGCUUGCAAAUGGGAAAAUGAGAGAGGCUAAUUUUGCUCGCAUAUGAGCUACAUGUAUUUUCUAUGUCUAUAUACAUGAAACUUUACUAAGAAGAUACCCCUGGGAUGAUUUUCUUCAAUUUUGAGUUCUAGACAUAUGCAGAAUUAUACAUCCAUCUCUA